CAAAGGUUUGGUCCCAGCCUUCCUAUUGACCUUUAAUAGACUUACACAUGCAAGCAUCCGCAUCCCAGUGAAAAUGCCCUCCAAGUUAAUAAGACUAAGAGGAGCUGGUAUCAAGCACACACCCGUAGCUCAUGACACCUUGCUUAGCCACACCCCCACGGGAGACAGCAGUGAUAAAAAUUAAGCCAUGAACGAAAGUUUGACUAAGCCAUAUUAAUUAGGGUUGGUAAAUUUCGUGCCAGCCACCGCGGUCAUACGAUUAACCCAAGUUAAUAGGCAUACGGCGUAAAGCGUGUUAAAGCAACAUAUAAAAAUAGAGUUAAACUUUAAUUAAGCUGUAAAAAGCCAUAAUUAUUAACGAAAAUAAAUAACGAAAGUAACUUUACAAUCGCUGAAACAUGAUAGCUAAGACCCAAACUGGGAUUAGAUACCCCACUAUGCUUAGCCCUAAACACAAAUAGUUAUAAUAACAAAACUGUUCGCCAGAGUACUACCGGCAAUAGCUUAAAACUCAAAGGACUUGGCGGUGCUUUAUAUCCCUCUAGAGGAGCCUGUUCUAUAAUCGAUAAACCCCGAUAUACCUCACCACCCCUUGCUAAUGCAGUCUAUAUACCGCCAUCUUCAGCAAACCCUAAAAAGGAGCAAAAGUAAGCAUAAUCAUAAUACAUAAAAACGUUAGGUCAAGGUGUAACCUAUGGAGUGGGAAGAAAUGGGCUACAUUUUCUAAUUUAAGAAAACUUAAUACGAAAGUUAUUAUGAAAUUAAUAACCAAAGGAGGAUUUAGCAGUAAACUAAGAAUAGAGUGCUUAGUUGAACUAGGCAAUGAAGCACGCACACACCGCCCGUCACCCUCCUCAAAUAAGCACAAUACGCUUAAAUUUAUUAGUAUGUAUAAACUGUAUGAGAGGAGACAAGUCGUAACAAGGUAAGCAUACUGGAAAGUGUGCUUGGAUAAAU
This 957-nucleotide non-coding RNA is filed under the name Hydropotes inermis argyropus. RNAcentral's name for it is "12S ribosomal RNA". It matches the Rfam family "Bacterial small subunit ribosomal RNA", at positions 311 to 1533 of the family's 1533-position model. Lineage: Eukaryota; Metazoa; Chordata; Mammalia; Artiodactyla; Cervidae. The record is from RNAcentral.